This 526-nucleotide ribosomal RNA is filed under the name Microbacteriaceae bacterium Ri1Ps_4569. RNAcentral's name for it is "bacterial SSU rRNA". It matches the Rfam family "Bacterial small subunit ribosomal RNA", at positions 505 to 1029 of the family's 1533-position model. The record is from RNAcentral. Lineage: Bacteria; Bacillati; Actinomycetota; Actinomycetes; Micrococcales; Microbacteriaceae.
GUGCCAGCAGCCGCGGUAAUACGUAGGGUGCAAGCGUUGUCCGGAAUUAUUGGGCGUAAAGAGCUCGUAGGCGGUUUGUCGCGUCUGCUGUGAAAACUGGAGGCUCAACCUCCAGCCUGCAGUGGGUACGGGCAGACUAGAGUGCGGUAGGGGAGAUUGGAAUUCCUGGUGUAGCGGUGGAAUGCGCAGAUAUCAGGAGGAACACCGAUGGCGAAGGCAGAUCUCUGGGCCGUAACUGACGCUGAGGAGCGAAAGCAUGGGGAGCGAACAGGAUUAGAUACCCUGGUAGUCCAUGCCGUAAACGUUGGGAACUAGAUGUGGGGGCCAUUCCACGGUCUCCGUGUCGCAGCUAACGCAUUAAGUUCCCCGCCUGGGGAGUACGGCCGCAAGGCUAAAACUCAAAGGAAUUGACGGGGGCCCGCACAAGCGGCGGAGCAUGCGGAUUAAUUCGAUGCAACGCGAAGAACCUUACCAAGGCUUGACAUAUACGAGAACGGGCCAGAAAUGGUCAACUCUUUGGACACUC